This 50-nucleotide transfer RNA is filed under the name Acerentomon microrhinus. RNAcentral describes it as "tRNA-Arg". Lineage: Eukaryota; Metazoa; Arthropoda; Protura; Acerentomata; Acerentomidae. The record is from RNAcentral.
AUAAGUAAAAAUUUUGAUUUCGACUCAAAUGUAGGAUUUUCCUACUUAUA